This 483-nucleotide ribosomal RNA is filed under the name uncultured bacterium. Its description in RNAcentral is "partial 16S ribosomal RNA". It matches the Rfam family "Bacterial small subunit ribosomal RNA", at positions 355 to 830 of the family's 1533-position model. The record is from RNAcentral.
UAGGGAAUCUUCCACAAUGGACGAAAGUCUGAUGGAGCAACGCCGCGUGAGUGAUGAAGGGUUUCGGCUCGUAAAACUCUGUUGUUGGAGAAGAACGGGUGUCAGAGUAACUGUUGACAUCGUGACGGUAUCCAACCAGAAAGCCACGGCUAACUACGUGCCAGCAGCCGCGGUAAUACGUAGGUGGCAAGCGUUGUCCGGAUUUAUUGGGCGUAAAGCGAGCGCAGGCGGUUUUUUAGGUCUGAUGUGAAAGCCUUCGGCUUAACCGGAGAAGUGCAUCGGAAACCGGGAGACUUGAGUGCAGAAGAGGACAGUGGAACUCCAUGUGUAGCGGUGAAAUGCGUAGAUAUAUGGAAGAACACCAGUGGCGAAGGCGGCUGUCUGGUCUGCAACUGACGCUGAGGCUCGAAAGCAUGGGUAGCGAACAGGAUUAGAUACCCUGGUAGUCCAUGCCGUAAACGAUGAGUGCUAAGUGUUGGAGGG